RNAcentral lists this ribosomal RNA (433 nucleotides) under uncultured bacterium. RNAcentral describes it as "partial 16S ribosomal RNA". It matches the Rfam family "Bacterial small subunit ribosomal RNA", at positions 29 to 507 of the family's 1533-position model. The record is from RNAcentral.
AACGAACGCUGGCGGCAUGCCUAACACAUGCAAGUCGAACGAGACCUUCGGGUCUAGUGGCGCACGGGUGCGUAACGCGUGGGAACCUGCCCUUAGGUUCGGAAUAACUCCCCGAAAGGUGUACUAAUACCGGAUAAUGUCUUCGGACCAAAGAUUUAUCGCCUUUGGAUGGGCCCGCGUUGGAUUAGCUAGUUGGUAGGGUAAAAGCCUACCAAGGCGACGAUCCAUAGCUGGUCUGAGAGGAUGAUCAGCCACACUGGGACUGAGACACGGCCCAGACUCCUACGGGAGGCAGCAGUGGGGAAUAUUGGACAAUGGGCGAAAGCCUGAUCCAGCAAUGCCGCGUGAGUGAUGAAGGCCUUAGGGUUGUAAAGCUCUUUUACCCGGGAUGAUAAUGACAGUACCGGGAGAAUAAGCUCCGGCUAACUCCGUG